This 236-nucleotide long non-coding RNA is filed under the name Elaeis guineensis (African oil palm). RNAcentral's name for it is "long non-coding RNA (EGUI_LNC018656)". The record is from RNAcentral. Lineage: Eukaryota; Viridiplantae; Streptophyta; Magnoliopsida; Arecales; Arecaceae.
CCUCGAUGGUGUUUUCAUUGGUGGGGGGUGUCGUAAGUAUUUUGCUCCUUCGAUCUCCAUCAGGAUCUAUGCACGAGGAGCAGAAAGAGGAGUAUAGGAGUCAUAUCUGUCAUAGUUCAGCUUCGGACUCUGUCUUCGAGGUGAAGCUUGCUUAUUGACAGUUAGUCUACUUGAUUCGACUAGAGCUUCAUUUUUCUUUUGUUUCUUCUUCUGACUUUUUCUGUCUGUUUCGUGUC